UACAGAGGUGGCAAGCGUUGUUCGGAAUUACUGGGCGUAAAGGGCGCGUAGGCGGCCUUCUAAGUCAGACGUGAAAUCCCCAGGCUUAACUUGGGAACUGCGUCUGAUACUGGGAGGCUUGAGUGCGGGAGAGGGAUGUGGAAUUCCAGGUGUAGCGGUGAAAUGCGUAGAUAUCUGGAGGAACACCGGUGGCGAAGGCGGCAUCCUGGACCGGUAUUGACACUGAAAAGCGAAAGCCAGGGGAGCAAACGGG
RNAcentral lists this ribosomal RNA (253 nucleotides) under uncultured bacterium. Its description in RNAcentral is "partial 16S ribosomal RNA". It matches the Rfam family "Bacterial small subunit ribosomal RNA", at positions 524 to 776 of the family's 1533-position model. The record is from RNAcentral.